This 225-nucleotide non-coding RNA is filed under the name Clostridium saccharobutylicum. Its description in RNAcentral is "T-box sequence". It matches the Rfam family "T-box leader". From Rfam's summary of the family: Uncharged tRNA acts as the effector for transcription antitermination of genes in the T-box leader family. T-boxes are found upstream of many aminoacyl-tRNA synthetase genes and some amino acid biosynthetic genes usually in Gram-positive bacteria. The anticodon of a specific tRNA base pairs to a specifier sequence within the T-box motif, and the NCCA acceptor tail of the tRNA base pairs to a conserved bulge in the T-box antiterminator hairpin. The record is from RNAcentral. Lineage: Bacteria; Bacillati; Bacillota; Clostridia; Eubacteriales; Clostridiaceae.
UUAAAAACUGUGAAUGAGAGAGUACAUAUCAUGUGGUUUCCAGGGAGAAAAGGUCAUGGACUGUAAGCCUUUUUAAGCAAAUUGAUAUCGAAGUUCACUCAGGAGUUCUAGCUGUGAAAAUUUAUAGUAGUAGCUAGCGGCAUAAAGUCGUUAAUAUUAAUUGAGUUGGGUAGCUUUUGAUAAAGCUCCAAUUAGGGUGGUAACGCGGAUUUUUUCGUCCCUUUC